CUAAGGUGAGGCUUUAACUUAGUAAAGAGAUAUUCUGCAAAUCUUAUUGAUAGUUUUGUGUUGUGGCUUUUGUAAAUCUUAUUGAUGGUUUCGACAGAACCGAGCCUUCACAUGGAGGUAGAGGGAGAAGAUGAGUUCAGGGAAGAGUGAGGCGUGUGUGUGUUAGUUUAUGUGUAAGAGUUUUGUUUUUUGGUUUAGGUAAUGAUGAACUUUGUCAAAAGUUGGAAUCUUUGAUUCUUGAUUUACAACAAGACUUACAAAAAACUUGUUUUUGGUAAAAAUUUGUUUAUUACAUAUCUCCAACUUUUAUUACAUAUCUCCAUGUUCCUUCUGAUCCCAUUUAUGUUUCUCGUGUAACCACAAGAAUGGAACACACUUUUAGUAGUCCUAUCUUUUUUUCAAAUAACUUCUUGGGGUUUGAGGAGGUGGUCUUCUUAUUCCCUGGAGGAUGGCCGGAUUCUAACAAGUGAAUACUCUUCUUCUCUUCUCCUCUCUUGCCGUAUGUUUUGUGUAUUGAAUGGUCUCCUUUGAAGAACAUAAUAUUGACAAAAGAAUCUUCAAAAUUUUUAAACACCCUAAAACAAGAGCCUUGCAAUGGAGGAGGAAAAAUGUCAAGUUGCUUAGCUAAGUCUCUUACCCAAAUUAUCUCCUUAAAUACUAUUAUUAUAUUAUUAAGCAACCCAUUAUGAGUUGGUAGGAUAAUGAUGCUCUUAGUUCCAUUUGAAAAUCCCGUUAUCUGUAAUCAGAUACAAUAAAAGCCAUUAAACGAACAAAAGGAAUAAAAGAACAAAUUAACAAACA
This is a long non-coding RNA of Brassica napus (rape), 801 nucleotides long. RefSeq lists it as uncharacterized. NCBI's taxonomy places the organism in Eukaryota, Viridiplantae, Streptophyta, Magnoliopsida, Brassicales, Brassicaceae. The transcript is spliced from 2 exons. The record is from RefSeq and is a predicted model, not a curated record.